UACGAAGGGUGCAAACGUUGCUCGGAAUUAUUGGGCGUAAAGCGCACGUAGGCGGCUUUGCAAGUCGGAUGUGAAAUCCCUCGGCUUAACCAAGGAAGUGCAUCCGAAACUGCAGAGCUUGAGUACUUAAGAGGAUCGCGGAAUUCCCGGUGUAGAGGUGAAAUUCGUAGAUAUCAGGAGGAACACCGGUGGCGAAGGCGGGUCUCUGGGCCGAUACUGACGCUGAGGAGCGAAAGCGUGGGGAGCGAACAGG
Molecule: ribosomal RNA, 253 nt
Filed under: uncultured bacterium
Lineage: Bacteria
Description: partial 16S ribosomal RNA
Rfam family: Bacterial small subunit ribosomal RNA
Source: RNAcentral